RNAcentral lists this ribosomal RNA (269 nucleotides) under uncultured bacterium. RNAcentral's name for it is "partial 16S ribosomal RNA". It matches the Rfam family "Bacterial small subunit ribosomal RNA", at positions 84 to 354 of the family's 1533-position model. The record is from RNAcentral.
UUGGUAUCUUAGUGGCGGACGGGUGAGUAACGCGUGGGUAACCUGCCUUACACUGGGGGAUAACACUUAGAAAUAGGUGCUAGUACCGCAUAACAGAGGGAGUCGCAUGACUUCGUCUUAAAAACUCCGGUGGUGUAAGAUGGACCCGCGUCUGAUUAGCUGGUUGGCGGGGUAGCGGCCCACCAAGGCGACGAUCAGUAGCCGGCCUGAGAGGGUGAACGGCCACAUUGGGACUGAGACACGGCCCAAACUCCUACGGAAGGCAGCAG